Molecule: ribosomal RNA, 421 nt
Filed under: uncultured bacterium
Lineage: Bacteria
Description: partial 16S ribosomal RNA
Rfam family: Bacterial small subunit ribosomal RNA
Source: RNAcentral
AAUAUUGGACAAUGGGGGCAACCCUGAUCCAGCCAUGCCGCGUGUGUGAAGAAGGUCUUCGGAUUGUAAAGCACUUUAAGUUGGGAGGUAGGGCUUUAGGCUAAUACCCUGAAGUUUUGUCGUUACCAACAUAUUACGCACCGGCUAACUCUGUGUCAGCAGCCGCGGUAAUACAGAGGGUGCAAGCGUUAAUCGGAAUUAUUGGGCGUAAAGCGCGAGUAGGUUGUUAAGUAAGAUGGGUGUGAAAUCCCCGGGCUUAACCUGGGAACUGCUUUCAUAACUGCUGAGCUAGAGUACGGUAGAGGGUAGUGGAAUUUCCAGUGUAGCGGUGAAAUGAGUAGAUAUAGGAAGGAACACCAGUGGCGAAGGCGACUACCUGGACUGAUACUGACACUGAGGUGCGAAAGCGUGGGGAGCAAAC